UACAGAGGGGGCAAGCGUUGUUCGGAAUUACUGGGCGUAAAGGGCGCGUAGGCGGCCUGCUAAGUCGAACGUGAAAUCCCUGGGCUCAACCCAGGAACUGCGUCCGAUACUGGUUGGCUUGAAUCCGGGAGAGGGACGUGGAAUUCCAGGUGUAGCGGUGAAAUUCGUAGAUAUCGAGAGGAACACCGGUGGCGAAGGCGGGUCUCUGGGCCGAUACUGACGCUGAGGAGCGAAAGCGUGGGGAGCAAACAGG
Molecule: ribosomal RNA, 253 nt
Filed under: uncultured bacterium
Lineage: Bacteria
Description: partial 16S ribosomal RNA
Rfam family: Bacterial small subunit ribosomal RNA
Source: RNAcentral